Molecule: long non-coding RNA, 1247 nt
Filed under: Cyanistes caeruleus (blue tit)
Lineage: Eukaryota; Metazoa; Chordata; Aves; Passeriformes; Paridae
Description: lncRNA (ENSCCEG00000015400.1)
Source: RNAcentral
GAACGAGUCACAAAGAUGUACAAAGUGCCUGUGCUACCCAUCCCAUAAACUUCUGCUCCCUCAGCCUUAGAGAGAUGGGUGUCUUUUCCAUUUGUUUUGGUCAAGCUAUUGUGUAAAUUAAGCUACAUCUCGUGGGUCAUACAACUAAAAAGAAGAGAUUGGAAACUCCUCAGGGCAGAGUCUGUCUGUAUUGGUGCCUAUUAUAGCUCACACACACCCCUGAGAGGCAAUGCCUCAUAAUUAAUCGCUAAAUAAUUAAUAAGAAGAAGAAGCAGCUACUACUCAGGAAGUAAUUAACCUCCUUAUGCUUACAGGGAAGUCCUAUGGAAGGGAAGAGUAAUUAAAGGCUUUUUAAAUGACACAGAAAAAUCCCCACUGACCUCGGCCAGGAUGGGUUUAGGAAGUGGGUCCAGUAGGAUUUCCUUAGUUACCAUAUUAAAAUAACUUUGUUCCUGUAUGUAAAAUUUCCUAAUCUGGUGAUUUUUGUUCAUCCAUCUGUACCAGUAUGCAGCCUGGAUGAAAAAUUUCAUUUUUAUUUAAUUUAAUUUUUGACAGUAGGGAAUGGUUAGUUAUAAGGUAUGCCGGAAUUUUCCUUGGAAAGCAAGCAGGUUGCUAACUCACAUUGGAACAGGGGUUUUCACUAUUUCAUUCAGGCAGUAUCAUAAAAUGCACAAAACUAAGACCUGGAUGGCAAAAUUAGUUUGCAAGAGGUACCUUUAGGUACCAUGGUCCAUCCACAAAGGCACAGAGAGAAUGUGGCAUCUAUUUUUCUUCAUAGCUGAAAGAGACUUUUGCAGUCAUUGCCAUGCUCCUUCAGAUGAAUUCACACAGUCCUGCAGAGAUGUGAAUUUUCUGGGACUUUGGAGCUGUCACAGCCGAGAGCUGAAAGCAUCAGCUGAGUGUAUCAGAACACACAACUACUCGGUAUCACUUCAUCAAGGAAACCAAGAAAUUUUCCCAGCCCUGGGUUUCCUUCUACCACAGUGCCUUCUUCUUUGAAGACCAGACACAUGAAACUUCAGCGGCUGUGACGGCAUAGCAGAAACUCCCAGGAGAAUCAGGAUCUCCUGUUUGCUGGCAUCCCUAAUCUGGCCAAGUGGCUCACUGCUGUGGAAAGGACAGCUGUAUCCUGCUCCUUCCCCUUGGGACCACUGCUGCUUUUCUGCCAGCUCCCUUGCAUUGAUUGCUCCAUGAUGCAAUGAGAGGAGUGACUGCAAACACAUCCCUGUGCCCCCGACAAGAUUAAU